GUAAGGAAUAUUGGACAAUGGACGCAAGUCUGAUCCAGCCAUGCCGCGUGAAGGAUUAAGGUCCUCUGGAUUGUAAACUUCUUUUAUAAGGGACGAAAAAAGGCUUUUCUAAGUCGUCUGACGGUACCUUAUGAAUAAGCACCGGCUAACUCCGUGCCAGCAGCCGCGGUAAUACGGAGGGUGCAAGCGUUAUCCGGAUUCACUGGGUUUAAAGGGUGCGUAGGCGGGCAGGUAAGUCAGUGGUGAAAUCCUAGAGCUUAACUCUAGAACUGCCAUUGAUACUAUCUGUCUUGUAUAUUGUGGAGGUAAGCGGAAUAUGUCAUGUAGCGGUGAAAUGCUUAGAUAUGACAUAGAACACCUAUUGCGAAGGCAGCUUACUACGCAUAUAUUGACGCUGAGGCACGAAAGCGUGGGGAUCAAACAGGAUUAGAAACCCCAGUAGUCC
Molecule: ribosomal RNA, 445 nt
Filed under: uncultured bacterium
Lineage: Bacteria
Description: partial 16S ribosomal RNA
Rfam family: Bacterial small subunit ribosomal RNA
Source: RNAcentral